Non-coding RNA from Paramuricea clavata, 212 nucleotides. NCBI's taxonomy places the organism in Eukaryota, Metazoa, Cnidaria, Anthozoa, Malacalcyonacea, Plexauridae. The record is from the annotation of a GenBank genome assembly.
AACACACACAAAAUAAACUAGAGAAUACUUAUGAUUUGGUUUACAAGUAUAAACUAUUGUAAACCGGCCGUUGAGAAAGAUCAUGACUAUAUUUUUACGACCAUCACGACCAAAUGGAAACCAGGCUUAAACCGGCCUAUAGAAAUAUAUUGUCUUUAACGUAUUUUAGAGGCAGGUUUAAAUGGUAUAACCAGUUGACAUGCCUAAGUAUG